GCGCCGGUGAUCUAAUGGCUAUGAUUGCGGCCUUCCAAGCCGUCUAUCCGGGUUCAAAUAUUGGCGCCUGAGGCGACAAUGCCUCGAACGCCAGUGAGAAAGUCCCGGCCGGCGCA
This 116-nucleotide transfer RNA is filed under the name Candidatus Woesearchaeota archaeon. Its description in RNAcentral is "tRNA-Gly". Lineage: Archaea; Nanobdellati; Candidatus Woesearchaeota. The record is from RNAcentral.